This 349-nucleotide ribosomal RNA is filed under the name Tyromyces sambuceus. RNAcentral describes it as "SSU rRNA". It matches the Rfam family "Bacterial small subunit ribosomal RNA", at positions 463 to 821 of the family's 1533-position model. The record is from RNAcentral. Lineage: Eukaryota; Fungi; Basidiomycota; Agaricomycetes; Polyporales; Incrustoporiaceae.
AAAAUAAUGAUACCACCUUACUAAUAGUGUCGUCUAAAACUGGUGCCAGAAGACUCGGUAAGGCCAGAGACGCAAACGUUAAUCAUCUUAAAAAGGCGUAAAGGGUUAGUAGGCAACUCUGAAAACAAUUUAUUUUUAAUAUAGCCAAAAUAAAUGUGAAUAGGAGAUUGACUCUNAUAGAGGUUAUAAUAUGAGCAAUUCUUAGAGGGAUGGAAUCUCUAGAACCUAGGAGGAGGGCUCAGUGCGAAAGCNACUUUCCGCUAAAGAUUGACGCUGAGGAACGAAGGUUGGGAUCGGAAAUAGGAUUAGAUACCCCGGUACUCCCUUCAGCGAACGAUGAAUGGUAGUC